Salvelinus sp. IW2-2015 is the source of this 595-nucleotide non-coding RNA. NCBI's taxonomy places the organism in Eukaryota, Metazoa, Chordata, Actinopteri, Salmoniformes, Salmonidae. The record is from RefSeq and is a predicted model, not a curated record.
AUGAAGUGUAUUUUGUGUUAGACACGCCUCUGACAUGUAAAGUAAAUUCCAUCUGCAGUACUGAAAAUAUUCCUUACUCUACAUGUAAAAUGCAUGUCUGUCGGUUAUAUUUCUAUCUGAAUGAAUGUUCUCAUUGUGUCCUACUGAACAAGGCCCAGGUGUUGACAUAGCCUAGGCAGCCGCCAUAAAGAAGAAGCCCACUAGCGGCAGCCCAGGCUAGUGUUGACACAGCGCCAGGCCGAAGUAGCUAGCUGUUCUGGCAAAGGGCACCUGUUAGCAAUCGAGUUGGAAGGAACUUCCCCUUUUCUUUCCAUGGGGCGCAUGGCAGUAUAAUCUACUCCAUGAAGGUGGAGAUACACAGGCCCUGGCAUCUAACCAAGGCGUUUGAGACAGUUCAACUUUUCCACCUACAUAGACACCAACCAACCACAUCUUCUGAUUUCUAGAUGGGACAGCUACAGUGAUUAUAUCCCUGACCUCAUGAAAGGGGAGUAGGAGGGAGGGAAAUACGCACAUACACACUGACACACACAAACAACACAUUUUUCUACAAUUGGAAAAACUUUCAAAUUGAAAAUAAAGGAAUGCAAAGACA